AAAUUGAAGAGUUUGAUCAUGGCUCAGAUUGAACGCUGGCGGCAGGCCUAACACAUGCAAGUCGAACGGUAGCACAGAGAGCUUGCUCUCGGGUGACGAGUGGCGGACGGGUGAGUAAUGUCUGGGAAACUGCCUGAUGGAGGGGGAUAACUACUGGAAACGGUAGCUAAUACCGCAUAACGUCGCGAGACCAAAGAGGGGGACCUUCGGGCCUCUUGCCAUCAGAUGUGCCCAGAUGGGAUUAGCUUGUUGGUGGGGUAACGGCCCACCAAGGCGACGAUCCCUAGCUGGUCUGAGAGGAUGACCAGCCACACUGGAACUGAGACACGGUCCAGACUCCUACGGGAGGCAGCAGUGGGGAAUAUUGCACAAUGGGCGCAAGCCUGAUGCAGCCAUGCCGCGUGUAUGAAGAAGGCCUUCGGGUUGUAAAGUACUUUCAGCGGGGAGGAAGGGAGUAAGGUUAAUAACCUUAUU
Molecule: ribosomal RNA, 474 nt
Filed under: Salmonella enterica subsp. enterica serovar Joal
Lineage: Bacteria; Pseudomonadati; Pseudomonadota; Gammaproteobacteria; Enterobacterales; Enterobacteriaceae
Description: bacterial SSU rRNA
Rfam family: Bacterial small subunit ribosomal RNA
Source: RNAcentral